This 72-nucleotide transfer RNA is filed under the name Podarcis lilfordi (Lilford's wall lizard). RNAcentral describes it as "tRNA.Ala". Lineage: Eukaryota; Metazoa; Chordata; Lepidosauria; Squamata; Lacertidae. The record is from RNAcentral.
GGGGGCAUAGCUCAGUGGUAGAUCAUCUGCUCUGCAUGCAGAAGGUCCCAGGUUCAAUCCUCAACAUCUCCA